RNAcentral lists this ribosomal RNA (439 nucleotides) under uncultured bacterium. RNAcentral describes it as "partial 16S ribosomal RNA". It matches the Rfam family "Bacterial small subunit ribosomal RNA", at positions 339 to 795 of the family's 1533-position model. The record is from RNAcentral.
CUACGGGGGGCAGCAGUGAGGAAUAUUGCACAAUGGGGGAAACCCUGAUGCAGCAACGCCGCGUGGAGGAUGACGCAUUUCGGUGUGUAAACUCCUUUUAUGAGUCAAGAAAAUGACGGUAGCUCAUGAAUAAGCACCGGCUAACUCCGUGCCAGCAGCCGCGGUAAUACGGAGGGUGCAAGCGUUACUCGGAAUCACUGGGCGUAAAGGACGCGUAGGCGGGAUGUCAAGUCAGGUGUGAAAUCCUAUGGCUCAACCAUAGAACUGCACUUGAAACUGGCAACCUAGAGUAUGGGAGGGGGAGAUGGAAUUAGUGGUGUAGGGGUAAAAUCCGUAGAUAUCACUAGGAAUACCGAAAGCGAAGGCGAUCUCCUGGAACAUUACUGACGCUAAGGCGUGAAAGCGUGGGGAGCAAACAGGAUUAGAUACCCCGGUAGUC